This 422-nucleotide long non-coding RNA is filed under the name Homo sapiens (human). RNAcentral describes it as "HSALNT0361355". The record is from RNAcentral. Lineage: Eukaryota; Metazoa; Chordata; Mammalia; Primates; Hominidae.
GAGGAACAACAGACACUGGUGCCUACUUGAGGAUGGAAGGUGGAAGGAGGGAGAUGAGCAGAAAAAAUAACUGUUGGCUUAGUACCUGAGUCACAAAAUGGAACAGCUGGAACUGAGUCUUCAAAAAGCUGUUCAAGAGUUCUGAAGACCAGCUGCUUCUGGAUGAUGGAAUGUACAGUAAGACCAGAACGUAGAUGGAGCUGGUGGCCAUUAUUCUUAGUAAACUCAUGCAGGAACAGAAAACCAAAUACUGCACGUUCCCACUUACAGGGACCAGGUGGAGAUAAUUGAAUCAUGGGGGCAGUUUCCUACAUGCUGUUCUUGUGAUGGUAAGUAAAUUGUCACGAGAUCAUGAUGGUUUUAUAAGGGGCUUCCCCCUUCGCUUGGCUCUCAUUCUUCUCUCUCCUGCUGCCUGUGAAGAA